This is a non-coding RNA of Prunus avium (sweet cherry), 832 nucleotides long. The record is from RefSeq and is a predicted model, not a curated record. Lineage: Eukaryota; Viridiplantae; Streptophyta; Magnoliopsida; Rosales; Rosaceae.
UUCUAAUUUCGCGCUUUAUUCCCUCUGGAACCCUCUCGCGCUCUCACCCUAACAAAAAUUUCACGCUUGUCUCUCAGCCCCAAAUCGAAACAACAUUCCCUUCCUCCUCCAGACCCAAACCCUAAAACUCUCUCUCUCUCUCUUCCUCCUUCGACGAAAGGUUUGACCUAAGAGCGUUGUAGGCAGCUAAGGAUCAACCCCACCACCCCAUGACCACUGACUGCUCCACAUUUUGUUUUGUAUUUGAAGCGGCCCAUUGAUGUCAAGAGUUUUUAUCAAAUCAUAUAUUCCACAUGAUCAGUUUCACAAGCACUAGAUGGUUAUGAUUUUAGAUCUCUUCAACGACUCUAAAAGGUAAGAAAGACUAUAAUCUAUGUUCCCAGCAGCUGUUAGAAGUCCUUGUACUAAUCUUGCUUGUGUUUUGCAGUUAUGGUUUGCUUCACUUCAUUAACAGAGGAAGAGAAGGAAAAAGCAGUGCAGCUUGGGAUAAAACCAUACUCAUGGAACUAGUUCAUCGAAAUGCUUGCUACAUUCUGGACGAAGACAUCCCUUGUGCACAUAAACUCUAUUUGGUCUAUGAGAAAGUCUGGGCUUCGAGUUAAGGAAGGUGUGCUUGUAAUUAUUUUAGUACCAUUUACACCCACUUUUGGACAUGAAGCAUCACAUCCUCUCAAACUAUCAUGGAGAUAAUCUUUUUGGAUGCUUACUUUGUUUUGGAUAGUGCAAGUAUCAAAUCUUCUCAAACUUUAGAGGAUUGACUUUGUGGGAUUAGUUAAAGACAAUUUUAAUGUACUAGAAUCAUUUUGAAUAAUAGAAAUAUAAUUUAGAGUAC